This 253-nucleotide ribosomal RNA is filed under the name uncultured bacterium. RNAcentral's name for it is "partial 16S ribosomal RNA". It matches the Rfam family "Bacterial small subunit ribosomal RNA", at positions 524 to 776 of the family's 1533-position model. The record is from RNAcentral.
UACGUAGGGGGCAAGCGUUAUCCGGAAUUACUGGGUGUAAAGGGAGCGUAGACGGUAAUGUAAGUCUGGAGUGAAAGGCGGGGGCCCAACCCCCGGACUGCUCUGGAAACUAUGUUACUAGAGUGCAGGAGAGGUAAGCGGAAUUCCUAGUGUAGCGGUGAAAUGCGUAGAUAUUAGGAGGAACACCAGUGGCGAAGGCGGCUUACUGGACUGUAACUGACGUUGAGGCUCGAAAGCGCGGGGAGCAAACAGG